AUGGCUCGUACCAAGCAAACUGCGCGAAAAUCUACGGGCGGUAAGGCUCCCCGCAAGCAGCUAGCCACUAAAGCUGCUCGUAAGAGUGCUCCAGCUACUGGCGGUGUGAAGAAGCCUCACCGUUAUAGGCCUGGCACCGUGGCUUUGAGAGAGAUUCGGCGCUACCAGAAGUCUACCGAACUGCUGAUUCGUAAGCUGCCCUUUCAGCGGCUGGUACGUGAGAUAGCUCAGGACUUCAAGACUGAUCUACGUUUCCAGAGCUCGGCCGUGAUGGCCUUGCAGGAGGCCAGCGAAGCCUACCUCGUGGGGCUUUUUGAGGACACAAAUCUUUGCGCUAUCCACGCCAAGCGGGUCACCAUCAUGCCCAAGGAUAUCCAGCUAGCUCGCCGCAUCCGCGGGGAGAGGGCCUAAAUUGUCAUAAGAUCCGAAAACCCCAAAGGCUCUUUUCAGAGCCACCCACAUUUUCACUAAGAGUAGUUGUGACCUUGUGGUUCUCAAUUUUUGGGAGGACUUUAGUUAUAAGUGCUUUUGAAAUAGUAAAAAUGGACGUUAAAAUCGAAACAUCCCCCAGCAUCACGUUGUGGGGUUCAUGUAAGUAAGAUAUAUAUUUCAAAUGGUUGUUGAAAGCGGUGUUUUUUUUUCUUUUGAAAACUGAUUAUAUCAUUUGCCUAUUUAUUUAUUAAGGAAUAGCUCUGCUAUUAUAUACAGGGGGUCCCCAAAGUCUUAGUACCAUUUUGUACUUUUAAAGGUUAAAGUUGAUUCAAAUACACAGCAGUCCAGAAGUCUGAGUGCAGUUUUAAGCCACAGGGAGUAUCAUUUGCCUAUAUUGCUUGAUAUCAAAAUGUUACAAUUUUUUCAGAGAAAAUUGUUGAAAAUACUUUCCUUCAAUUUGCAUCUUAAUUUUAACUGCAGUUGUUUCUGUUGUCCUCUUCUGAGUGUCCAUUUUGAACUUAUGUUAAGUGGUUUGAGGUGCUGGCAUAGAAUAAUUUUCUGCAUGACUGCUUUCCUGUUUUUGCAGAAGUUUUUGAUGGAAUAGUGAGUCUUUAGACAAGUAACUGGUUGAAAUUUGGGUUUAUCGAUAUUAUGUUUGUUUCUGUAUCUUCUGUAUCUGAUCUGUCCCACUGACCAAUUUUUUCCAUUUUUUGAAUGAUUUUUAUGGAUUAUUACUUUAAAAUAAAGUUUGAAUUCUAGGUUCCCUUCCUUACUACUUGUUUUCCUUGAUAAUUUUUAUUUUUGUUCUUCCAGGUGAAUUUUAUUAUUUUUACUUUAUACAGUAACUAUUUUGAUUUGAAUUGGUAUAUUAUGAAAGAAGUAAGUUAAAGUAGUAUUAUAAUUUUUGAUAUAUUGGCAUGCUCAAUUGUUAUAAGUAGCUCUCCAAAUAGGUUUGUAUUUCUGUAAACAGUGUUUUGUAUUUGCAUUCAUUUUUUUUUAAAUAUAGAGAAAGGCUGACAAUUUAUAGGGAGUUGUUUAUUGUGGUUAUUGUUUCAAUUAAUUUUUAGUUGAAUCUCUAAGGUUCCCUAAGUUGACCAUCACAUAUAUCAUUUACAAAAAUUGACAAUUUUGUUUCCUUUUUGCUUAUGCUUGUUUCUUCAAUUUCUUUUUUUCCUUGUAAUUGCUAAAAAUAGCGUGUAUGACAUUAUACGAAAUAAUAAUGGUGAUAAUGGACUUUCUUGCUUUAAUCCCAAUCCUUAUUGUUUCUCAAAUACAUAUAAUUCUGGCUUUUGGUUUUAUAUAGAUAGUAUUUACUAAACCAAGGGAAGGUCAUUUAUGUCUGUGUUUUAAAAAAGGUUUAAACAUAAAUGGUCAUUGCAUUUUUGACAGCUUUUCCUGCAUCUAUUGAUAGUCAUUUAUUUUUGGUUAUUAAUAUGGUCUCUGAUAUUUGUAGAAUUUUCAAUACUGAACCAACCUUGCAUUCCUGGUAUUAAUAUUUUUAAUAUAUUGCUGUAUCUUGUUCAUCUAAUCUUGAGACACUGCUGUUAGACUUUACGGUCAAGAGGAUAUUGCAUCACUUCUUUAGUAAAUAAACUUCUUUGUUAUGGAUGUUGAGGUUCCUUUUAAAAAAUCUUUGGCUUAUUAAAUCCUUGCUUUGACACCUGUGAAAAAUACUUAUAGCUUAGGUUAUGAGUCAAGUCUAGAGUUUCUCCCAAGUAGAAGAGAUAAAAUACUAUUCAUUGACCAAUAUAAACUAGGCAAUUUAUUCAUAUAUACAAGACACAAUAAGCAUGAAAGAUACAUAACAAGUUCAUUCACAGAGCCUCUUAACAUAAUUCAGUAACCUAACCAAUAACUAUUCUGAAAGUGUGCUAUUUAAAUCUCAUCAGAAUAUAAAACAGUUUUUAGUACAACUAAUCAGGUAGGUUAUAUAGUGCAUUGACACUGGCACUGUCCAAACAAUUCUUGGUAAAUAUAUGUUGGUAAAAUGGCCAGUCUUGGAUCAAUCCUUUUGUUGGUGAACUAAGAGUAUUAUAAUACUUGCUGGGGCCUCCUCCUCUGCCACCUAUCAAUCCACAUAAAUCAUCAGUAUUCAUCUUUGUUACCAGUAAAACCCAAUAGGAAGAAAUAGAAAGAAGUUCCAUUUAAAAUAACCAUGGCUUUUCUUUUCCUUUUUUAAAAAAUAAAUUGUUACUUUCUGUUUUAUUAUUCUAAGACAGAAGAGCCACAAAGGCUAGGCAAUCAGGGUUAUGCGACUUAAAUAGCUAGAAAAUUUCUGAGGUCAAAUUUGAUCCCAGGUUCUCCAGACCCAGGACUCUAUCUACUGUGCUACCUAGCUGCCUCCCACCCCACUUUUAUUUUACCCUUCAUUUAAAAAAAUUUUGAUCAGUUUCACUACCAAAUUAAUAAUUAUAUUUUUUAUUACUAGAAUUUAUUUCCAGGUAUCUCAGUCUUCCUUUUCCUCCUCAUACCACUGAAGGCAUUAUCAAGCAAACAGACAUGUAUAUAUAGAUUGUCUUUCAUGAACUUCCCAGUUCAUUCUCAUUCUGGAGGUGAACAUUCACAAGUUAUCUUUCAAAUAUUAAAUUUGUAGCUUUAUAUAAUGUUCUUUUGGUUCUAUUAAUUUCUUUCUUUAUUUUCUCAUGUAGUUCUUUCCAAAUUAAAAAAAAAAUAAUCUAUUCAUCUUUUCUUACAGCACAAUAGUAUUCCAUCACAAUCAUCUACUACAAUUUUUUUAGUCAUUCCCAAUUGAUGGACAUCCUCUCCAUUUUCAGUUCUUUGUCAUGACAAGGAACUGCUGUAAAUAUUUUGGAACAUAUAAAUUCUUUUCCUUUUCCCUAAUUUCCUUGGGAAAUAAACCCAACAAAAAUAUUGCUGGGUCUAAGGGAAUAGAUGAUUUUAUAGCUCUCUAGGUAGGUGUAAUUCCAAACUGCUCUCCAAAAUGGUUGGAUCAGUGUAGUUUCAACAACAGUAGUGGCCCACUUUUCCACAUUCCCUCCAACAUUCAACAUUUUGCACUUUGGCCAUUUUAGUCACUCUGACUGGUGUGAGAAAAGACCUCAGAAUUGUUUUGGUUUGUAUUUCCUUAAAUUGUAGUGAUUUAGAGCCUUUUAUUCAUGUACCUAUUGAAACCCCAUUUAACAGUUGGGAAUUAGUUCUUAUUUUCAUAAAUUUGACAAAGUCCUCUAUAUAUUUUAGAUAUGAGAACUCUAUCCAAGAGACUGUCUAUAAAAAUUCCCCCUCAACCCAUUUUCUGUUUUCCUUCUAAACUAGGCAACAUUUGUUUUAUUUCUACAAAACCUUUUCAAUUUAAUGUACUGAAAAUUAUAUAUGUUAAAUUCAUAAUGUUUUCCAUUUCUUGUUUACUUAUAAAUUCCUCUCCAAUCUAUAAAUCUGAUACGUGAUAUGCUCCUUGUUCUUUUAGUUUGCUAUGAUAUCUUCUUUUAUGUCUAUGUCAUGUAUCCAUUUUUAUUUUAUCUUAGGUUGAAUGGUAUUAGAUAUUGGUCUAUAACUAGUUUCUGACAAGCUACUUUAAAAUUGUUCCAAUAAUUUUUAUCAAAUAGUGAUUUCUUUUCCCAAUAGUCUGGUUCUAUACUUUUGUUAAAUACAUAGGUUGCUAUACUAGUUUACUUCUGUUUGUUUUAUGUCUGUUCUGUUCUACUGUUCUACUCUUCUAUUUCUUAGCCAUUACCAGAUAGUUAUAAUAAUUACUGCCUUAUAAUAAAUACAGUUUAAAAUCUG
Monodelphis domestica (gray short-tailed opossum) is the source of this 4173-nucleotide non-coding RNA. The record is from RefSeq and is a predicted model, not a curated record. NCBI's taxonomy places the organism in Eukaryota, Metazoa, Chordata, Mammalia, Didelphimorphia, Didelphidae.